RNAcentral lists this ribosomal RNA (253 nucleotides) under uncultured bacterium. RNAcentral describes it as "partial 16S ribosomal RNA". It matches the Rfam family "Bacterial small subunit ribosomal RNA", at positions 524 to 776 of the family's 1533-position model. The record is from RNAcentral.
UACGUAGGGGGCGAGCGUUGUCCGGAUUUAUUGGGCGUAAAGCGCAUGCAGGCGGUCCUGUAAGUUUGAAGUGACAGUUUCCGGCUCAACCGGGAAAGUGCUUUGAAAACUGCGGGACUUGAGGGCUUCAGAGGGACACGGAAUUCCGGGUGGAGUGGUGAAAUGCGUAGAUAUCCGGAGGAACACCGAAGGCGAAGGCAGUGUCCUGGGGAGCGACUGACGCUCAGAUGCGAAAGCCAGGGGAGCGAACGGG